Molecule: ribosomal RNA, 206 nt
Filed under: uncultured bacterium
Lineage: Bacteria
Description: partial 16S ribosomal RNA
Rfam family: Bacterial small subunit ribosomal RNA
Source: RNAcentral
CGUGUAGGCGGUUAGGCAAGUCAGUGUGAAAUCCCUUGGCUCAACCAAGGAAGUGCGCUUGAAACUGCUUAACUAGAGUACAGGAGGGGAAAGUGGAAUUCCCAGUGUAGAGGUGAAAUUCAUAGAUAUUGGGAGGAACACCGGUAGCGAAGGCGGCUUUCUGGCCUGAUACUGACGCUGAGACGCGAAAGCGUGGGGAGCAAACA